AUUGAACGCUGGCGGCAGGCUUAACACAUGCAAGUCGAGCGGUAACAGAGAGAAGCUUGCUUCUCUGCUGACGAGCGGCGGACGGGUGAGUAAUGCCUAGGAAUCUGCCUAGUAGUGGGGGAUAACUUGCCGAAAGGUAAGCUAAUACCGCAUACGUCCUACGGGAGAAAGGAGGGGACCUUCGGGCCUUUCGCUAUUAGAUGAGCCUAGGUCGGAUUAGUUAGUUGGUGAGGUAAUGGCUCACCAAGACCGCGAUCCGUAACUGGUCUGAGAGGAUGAUCAGUCACACGGGAACUGAGACACGGUCCAGGCUCCUACGGGAGGCAGCAGUGGGGAAUAUUGGACAAUGGGGGGAACCCUGAUCCAGCCAUGCCGCGUGUGUGAAGAAGGUCUUAGGAUUGUAAAGCACUUUAAGUUGGGAGGAAGAGCAGUUAACUAAUAUUUGACUGUUCUGACGUUACCGACAGAAUAAGCACCGGCUAACUUCGUGCCAGCCGCCGCAGUAA
RNAcentral lists this ribosomal RNA (506 nucleotides) under uncultured bacterium. RNAcentral describes it as "partial 16S ribosomal RNA". It matches the Rfam family "Bacterial small subunit ribosomal RNA", at positions 30 to 523 of the family's 1533-position model. The record is from RNAcentral.